This 64-nucleotide transfer RNA is filed under the name Cavia porcellus (domestic guinea pig). It matches the Rfam family "tRNA". Rfam says of the family: Transfer RNA (tRNA) molecules are approximately 80 nucleotides in length. Their secondary structure includes four short double-helical elements and three loops (D, anti-codon, and T loops). Further hydrogen bonds mediate the characteristic L-shaped molecular structure. tRNAs have two regions of fundamental functional importance: the anti-codon, which is responsible for specific mRNA codon recognition, and the 3' end, to which the tRNAs corresponding amino acid is attached (by aminoacyl-tRNA synthetases). tRNAs cope with the degeneracy of the genetic code in two manners: having more than one tRNA (with a specific anti-codon) for a particular amino acid; and 'wobble' base-pairing, i.e. permitting non-standard base-pairing at the 3rd anti-codon position. The record is from Rfam by way of RNAcentral. Lineage: Eukaryota; Metazoa; Chordata; Mammalia; Rodentia; Caviidae.
GGGGAUUUAGCUCAGUGGCACAAGCACCUGCCUUGAAAGCAGACGGUCGUGAGUUUAAUCCCCG